GUUAAAAGCACCCAGAUCACCUCCUGAGACAGGGGUGUUGUGUGUCUCCUGAGUGCCCUGAGGUCCGGCGCCUUCCCGGAGUUCUAAAAGGAGCAGAGCAGCUGUGCUUGGUGGGUGGGACGCGCGGCCGAGGGCCAGGACUGAGCCUUCCUGCUGCGGACUGUGUUGUGUGAGCAGGUCGGGGAUCAAGCAAGAGUCUGUUUCUUUGAAGAAUUCCCCCAGGAGCCGCGUGUCAUGCCAGUGUUCUCUAAGAGGACAGAAAAUGUCUUCUGUUGCCAGAUGGAAGGGAAAGACGAGGAAGGGUAUACUGGAAAGGAGCUUGACGAACGCGUGAUUUUUCGAGAAAGUUGCCUGUAGAACAGACACCCUGAAACACAGGGACUGAAAUCUUACUAAAGAUGCAUUUCAAGCUGCAUGUGUGUGGGAGAUGGACAAGCACGUUGAAAAACAUCUGUGCCUGUGUGAAGACCGCCAAAAUGACGACAGACAGACAGACCCGCUUCUGUGUCUCAGUCCUCUAUACCAGGAGACCCUAACCUGCUGCCCUCCAGCACACUCACCUGGAUCACAGCGUCUUCCGGAGCAGAUGCUCCACACGUGCCAGCUGAUUUUGUCACUUAGAUAUAUGACUCUCUGGGAAAUCCGUUUCAGCAAAGAAUGACAAGGGAGCUAAUCAACCAUGACAAGAACAAAAGGCCAGCAGCCAGGGGAAGGGGAAAUAAGGAGCCUGGAUCAUCUGCAAAUUGGACUGUAGGCUCACGAACUGAUGGUAUCCCAAUUCACAGGGGCGAGAUGGUCUCGCUGUCCUUCACCCUCCUUGUAACUCAUAACAAAGACCUCCUGCAUGAGGUCCCUCCCCUCCAUGGAACCCACCCACCAGGGCAGAAGUGCAGAAAGUGUGGGGUGGGAGGGGAGGAAGGAACGGCAUGCAAAUCCCCACAGGUGCAGGAUGUAAAACGGAAGUGGCCCCCGGGGAGGCGAUGGGGCAGCUGUACCCACUUUGCAUAUACUCAUCGCAGGCUAAAGUUAGGUUCUGGCUCACACCACGUGGAGGGGCCACAUUCACCUACUCCCCACCACUGAGCAGGGGGCUUGUCUGGGCUUUGCUUAGGACGGGGUCUGGUUUGCCCUUUCAGAGUCAUAGAUUGGGCACCUGGUCAUCGUUGUUUGGGGUAAGGUCAGGGAAAAAUCACAACUGCUCCUUCCCUCCCCACAACCAAGUCUGAACAUCACAGAUUUAAAAUCUGCCUGAAACGGACCUGAAGGAUUGUCAUGUCUUGCCCAGUCAUCUUGAUGCUGUUAAGCCCAUCUCCUUCUUUGCUCCACCCCAUCUAAAACAUCACCAGAUCCCAUAAAAGAGGCCCCAACCUGGUAUUGCUCAUGGACCUCACCAGAACCGUUUCCACCAACCGGUCUCCUACAACAUUACUUGCUGCGCUCGGCACCCAUCCAACCCCUGACCCCACAAUGGGCCUUCGUUUUUGUGGUCUGGCCUCAGCCCUUACACCCAACGCUCAGCUUCUCUGGCCUCCAGUUUUGCUUUCUUCCUCAGCCAUGGUUUGCAUUCCUAUUGAAGCGAGCUGCCUUGAGCCACGCAGGCCCUGAGGUGUGCAGGACCCAGGCAGGUGGAGAAGGAUAGCCGCCCCAAAGACCAAAGCGGGAGGAUGGGUGACAGCCGAAGAGCCCAUGUGGAGAGGAGAUCUGUGGGCUGCAAGUGCCAAGUGGAGAUGCCUGCGCCCCUCAGGCUUGUUAGUGCCCCCCACCAGCUCCAGCCUCCUCUCAGCUGUGGGAUCUGAGCAGAACACUAAAGUCCAGGCCAGGGAACUAGGGCCCUAUUUGCCAGAUGCCAGGGGCACCUGUAUUGUGCUAAAGGCAUGGUGCCCCAUUGUGUCUUUGAAAGACUGCACAUUACACAGAGGAUUUAUUUAUUUUUUAGAAAGGG
Equus caballus (horse) is the source of this 1942-nucleotide long non-coding RNA. The record is from Ensembl. NCBI's taxonomy places the organism in Eukaryota, Metazoa, Chordata, Mammalia, Perissodactyla, Equidae.